This is a long non-coding RNA of Gossypium arboreum, 769 nucleotides long. RefSeq lists it as uncharacterized. Lineage: Eukaryota; Viridiplantae; Streptophyta; Magnoliopsida; Malvales; Malvaceae. The transcript has 2 exons. The record is from RefSeq and is a predicted model, not a curated record.
UUUCCUGCAUUUUAGGAGUAGGAAAACAGGGGAAGCGUAAUUGAGUUUUUGGUUUGCAUUUGCAGUAUUUGUGACUCAUUCACUGAUUUAAAUUGCGUAUAUUAGUCAUCUUGUGUUUCCAUCAUGAUAAAUAUUCUUUAUUUAUUUAUUUAUAAUAAUUAAUGUUUACAAACUGUAAUUUUAAUUUUGCUUCAAACAACUCUGCAAAGGAACUAACAAUCUCUGUCGAACAAGACUGCAUAUUCAAAUGGAAAAAGCAUAAAAAAAUAAAGGUGAAAUCUGUCAGACAACUGUGUGACCUUUACAGUCGCACAAGGCAAGCUUGGAACGAUCCUCUGCGGUCGAAGUGAAACCAGUGAGGAAACCACAAGACCAAUAAUCACGCUCAGAUCACACAGUCGUGGUUCAUCAACGAGACUUGGAACCCUAUCUUCUUCGAGCUUAAGGACAAAGAGAUGCAGCAGUCAAUGGUGGUGGUAAUUUGCUGCUUUUGUACACUAUGUAUUAGGUGAUUGGAAGGUGGUUUCGUAAGUUCUGAAGAACGGUGGUCCAGACCAGAGAUCCCAGAGGCAGUACAAGUUGUUGAAGUUUAUUACUCUCGCAAGUUCUUAGAACGCUUAGAAUGCCAUGUUCUUGUCAUGGGAUCGCUUCAUUAAUGCCUUCAGUUUUGCCUUUGCCUGAAGAACUAUGUAACAGCUAAGAUUAAUCCCAGGUUUGUAUUGACAAACGAACUCCGUUUUCCUCUCCUGCAAUCAGUUUCACUACGGCA